CUUGACAGCCAUAUCACCCUGGACGCGCCUGGUCUCCUCCAAUAUCAGAAGCUAAGCAGAGACAGGCCUGGUACAUAUUUGGGAGAAAUAUCUUUAAAACCAAAUUUCCUUUUACAU
RNAcentral lists this ribosomal RNA (117 nucleotides) under Mesocricetus auratus (golden hamster). The record is from RNAcentral. Lineage: Eukaryota; Metazoa; Chordata; Mammalia; Rodentia; Cricetidae.